Mycena polygramma is the source of this 93-nucleotide non-coding RNA. The record is from the annotation of a GenBank genome assembly. NCBI's taxonomy places the organism in Eukaryota, Fungi, Basidiomycota, Agaricomycetes, Agaricales, Mycenaceae.
GGUCUGGUGGCGCAACCGGUAGUGUGCCGUCGCAGAGUACACGAUUCCGUACUCUUCAGAAUAGAGGUCCUUGUUCGAUUCAAGGCCAGGCCC